Molecule: long non-coding RNA, 356 nt
Filed under: Phoenix dactylifera (date palm)
Lineage: Eukaryota; Viridiplantae; Streptophyta; Magnoliopsida; Arecales; Arecaceae
Description: long non-coding RNA (PDAC_LNC019563)
Source: RNAcentral
AUGUAUUGAAUGGUGAUGUGUGACUCCAAUUUGUUUGUACUGAUAAUCAAUUAGCAGAUAUUUUUACAAAAUCCCUAAGUGAAGAGAGGUUUAGCGUGCUUAGGAGGGGAUUAGGAGUGAUUGAUCCAUCCUAGUGGGAGUUUCCACUAGAUUAAUUGAUUUUGAUGAUUAGAAUGCGGUUAAAAUAGAGUUUCUAUUCAAUGAUCAUCAAAUCAGAUCCCAAUUAGGUGAUUUUCCCUCAUUUGGCACGGGUAUAGCAUGACUUUUAGGUGCGUGCCAAGGUUAGAGACGACUCGAGUAAGUUUCAGAGCCGGCUCCUAAGGGGGAGUCGACUCGCGCAUUUGCGGGAGUCGACU